Molecule: ribosomal RNA, 406 nt
Filed under: uncultured bacterium
Lineage: Bacteria
Description: partial 16S ribosomal RNA
Rfam family: Bacterial small subunit ribosomal RNA
Source: RNAcentral
AUUGAACGCUGGCGGCAGGCCUAACACAUGCAAGUCGAACGAGUGGCGGACGGGUGAGUAAUGUCUGGGAAACUGCCUGAUGGAGGGGGGUAACUACUGGAAACGGUAGCUAAUACCGCAUACCAUCGGAUGUGCCCAGAUGGGAUUAGCUAGUAGGUGGGGUAAAUGCUCAACUAGGCGACGAUCCCUAGCUGGUCUGCGAGGAUGACCAGCCACACUGUAACUGAGACACUGUCCAGACUCCUACGGGAGGCAGCAGGGGGGAAUAUUGCACAAUGGGCGCAAGCCUGAUGCAGCCAUGCCGCGUGUAUGAAGAAGGCCUUCGGGUUGUAAAGUACUUUCAGCGGGGAGGCGUUACUCGCAGAAGAAGCACCGGCUAACUCCGUGCCAGCAGCCGCGGUAAUAC